RNAcentral lists this ribosomal RNA (702 nucleotides) under uncultured Basidiomycota. RNAcentral describes it as "eukaryotic LSU rRNA". The stretch from base 283 to 436 matches the Rfam family "5.8S ribosomal RNA". The record is from RNAcentral. Lineage: Eukaryota; Fungi; Basidiomycota.
CUUGGUCAUUUAGAGGAAGUAAAAGUCGUAACAAGGUUUCCGUAGGUGAACCUGCGGAAGGAUCAUUAUUGAUUUUUAAAGGAUGUGCUGGCUGCCCUAUCACAGGUUUGCAUGUGCACUCCACAAAAUCUUCAUUCUCUACACCAUUGUGCACAACCCAGUAGGCAAAACAGGUUCACAGAGCAAUCUGUGCACAUUGUCUGCCUAUGCUUUUUAUACCAAACCCCAAUAAUAUGUCAGAAUGAUGUAUUGCAGUAAGCUUUCACAAGCUGAAAUUAAUACAACUUUCAACAAUGGAUUUCUUGGUUCUCGCAUCGAUGAAGAACGCAGCGAAUUGCGAUAUGUAAUGUGAAUUGCAGAAUUCAGUGAAUCAUCGAAUCUUUGAACGCACCUUGCACUCUUUGGUCUUCCAAAGGGUAUGCCUGUUUGAGUAUCAUUAAUAAUAUCAACACAAAUCAACUUGAUAUGUGCUUGGAUGUUGAAGGUAUGCUGGCUUUGCAGUUGGCUCCUUUUAAAUGAAUUAGCAGAACUAUUAGGACUGGCUUCGGUUUGAUAAUUAGCUUUUAUCUAUUGCUGUUGCUUGCCACUUUUGUUCAGCUGAUAAUUGUCCUUGGACUGUCUCUUAAGACAUAAAAAUUCUUAAAUUGAUCUCAAAUCAGGUAGGACUACCCGCUGAACUUAAGCAUAUCAAUAAGCGGAGGA